AUACAGAGGGUGCGAGCGUUAAUCGGAAUUACUGGGCGUAAAGCGCGCGUAGGCGGCUUGGUCAGUCGGAUGUGAAAGCCCUGGGCUCAACCUGGGAAUUGCAUUCGAUACUGCCAAGCUAGGGUAUGGGAGAGGGAAGUGGAAUUUCCGGUGUAGCGGUGAAAUGCGUAGAUAUCGGAAAGAACACCAGUGGCGAAGGCGACUUCCUGGCCCAAUACUGACGCUGAGGUGCGAAAGCGUGGGGAGCGAACAGGAUUAGAAACCCUUGUAGUCC
This 274-nucleotide ribosomal RNA is filed under the name uncultured bacterium. RNAcentral's name for it is "partial 16S ribosomal RNA". It matches the Rfam family "Bacterial small subunit ribosomal RNA", at positions 523 to 796 of the family's 1533-position model. The record is from RNAcentral.